RNAcentral lists this transfer RNA (68 nucleotides) under Parcoblatta divisa. Its description in RNAcentral is "tRNA-Glu". It matches the Rfam family "tRNA". From Rfam's summary of the family: Transfer RNA (tRNA) molecules are approximately 80 nucleotides in length. Their secondary structure includes four short double-helical elements and three loops (D, anti-codon, and T loops). Lineage: Eukaryota; Metazoa; Arthropoda; Insecta; Blattodea; Blattellidae. The record is from RNAcentral.
AUUUAUAUAGUUUAUAAUAAAACAUUACAUUUUCACUGUAAAAAUAAAAAUUAGUCUUUUUAUAAAUA